UAUAUUUGAUAAGGCAUCUUAUUAAUAUUAAAGCUUCGGCACUUGAUGAUGGGUGUGCGGCUGAUUAGAUAGUUGGCGGGUAACGGCCCACCAAGUCUACGAUCAGUAGCUGAUGUGAGAGCAUGAUCAGCCACACGGGCACUGAGACACGGGCCCGACUCCUACGGGAGGCAGCAGUAAGGAUAUUGGACAAUGGACGAAAGUCUGAUCCAGCCAUGCCGCGUGAAGGAUUAAGGUCCUCUGGAUUGUAAACUUCUUUAUAUGGGACGAAAAAGGGCAUUCUUGUUCACUUGACGGUACCAUAUGAAUAAGCACCGGCUAACUCCGUG
RNAcentral lists this ribosomal RNA (329 nucleotides) under uncultured bacterium. RNAcentral describes it as "bacterial SSU rRNA". It matches the Rfam family "Bacterial small subunit ribosomal RNA", at positions 173 to 507 of the family's 1533-position model. The record is from RNAcentral.